GGUGCGAGAGGUGUUUGGUUGCGGGUGUCUGUGCCAGCGCAGCCGGAGAGCCUGAGUCUCAGUCAUCACAGAUAUACCCAGAAACUUAACAAACAGAGGAGAGACCACAGCACCACUCCACCGCCUUUGUUGCUCUCCAUGGUGCUCCCUUGGAGUGUCAAGGCUCCAAUCCAAGUAGGCAUGCUACCAGGUUCCAGAUGCCAGUAUGAUGCCGACUAGACUUCCUUGGACAGAUGACCCCACCAAUGUGUCCUGGAACUCAGCUUCCCCAGAGACCCACCCUACUAGGGAAAGAGAGAGGCAGACUGGGAGUAUGGAUCGACCAGUCAAUGCCCAUGUUCAGCGGGGAAGCAAUUACAGAAGCCAGACCUUCCACCUUCUGCAACCCACAAUGACCUUGGGUCCAUAAUCCCAGAGGGAUAAAGAAUGAGAAAGCUAUCAGGGGAGGGGAUGGGAUAUAGAGAUCUGGUGGUGGGAAUUGUGUGAAGUUGUAUCCCUCUUAUCCUACAGUUUUGUUAAUGUCUCCUUUUUAAAAUAAAUAAAUUUAAAAAAAAAAGAAAGAAAAGAGGGAGUCAGGUGGUAGUGCAGCGGGUUAAGUGCAGGUGUCACAAAGCGCAAGGACCAGCCUAAGGAUCCCGGUUCAAGCCCCUGGAUCCCCACCUGCAGGGGAGUCGCUUUACAGGCGGUGAAGUAGGUCUGCAGGUGUCUAUCUUUCUCUCCCCUUCUCUGUCUUCCCCUCCUCUCUCCAUUGCUCUCUGUCCUAUCCAAUAAUGACUACAUCAAUAACAACAACAAUAAUAACUACAACAAAGGUAACAAAAGGGAAUGAAUGAAUAAAUAAAUAAAUAUUUUUAAAGAAAGAAAAUCCAGUAAUCUAGUUAUAUCUCAUCUUGUGAAAAGUUAUGGCUAAAGGCUUACUCAGCAACUAUCAGUGGAUGAGCACAAGGUUAGGCAGCUCUUCUGUAAACCCAGGCUUUCCCUACACCAGUUUUCAGAACUACAUCAGAGGGAGUUGUUAGUUGCUUUUCCUACAACUUUCAAGACAACAGAGAAAUAGUUAACAUUGCCCAAAGCACAGGCAGUGAUCACUUCUCUACGGUAACCUUAGGAGUCAGCUCCAUCACCUCCUUA
Erinaceus europaeus (western European hedgehog) is the source of this 1131-nucleotide long non-coding RNA. RefSeq lists it as uncharacterized. NCBI's taxonomy places the organism in Eukaryota, Metazoa, Chordata, Mammalia, Eulipotyphla, Erinaceidae. The record is from RefSeq and is a predicted model, not a curated record. The transcript has 3 exons.